Molecule: ribosomal RNA, 1523 nt
Filed under: metagenome
Description: bacterial SSU rRNA
Rfam family: Bacterial small subunit ribosomal RNA
Source: RNAcentral
AGAGUUUGAUUCUGGCUCAGAACGAACGCUGGCAGCGUGGAUUAGGCAUGCAAGUCGAACGGGAUCCAGCAUGUAGCAAUACAAGCUGGUGAGAGUGGCGGAAGGGCGAGUAUCGCGUGGGCAAUCUGCCCCCAAGUUGGGGAUAACCCGCCGAAAGGCGGGCUAAUACCGAAUGUGGACCCUGCUCGCAUGAGUGGGUGUCUAAAGACGGGGACCUUCGGGCCUGUCGCUUGAGGAUGAGCCCGCGUCCUAUCAGCUAGUUGGUGAGGUAACGGCCCACCAAGGCUGUGACGGGUAGCUGGUCUGAGAGGAUGGUCAGCCGCACUGGGACUGAGACACUGCCCAGACUCCUACGGGAGGCUGCAGUCGAGGAUCAUUUGCAAUGGGCGAAAGCCUGACAAUGCGACGCUGCGUGGAGGAUGACGGCCUUCGGGUUGUAAACUCCUGUCGUCCGGGUACAAGAAGCCGGGUGUUAACACCAUCCGGACGUGAUGGUACCGGAAAAGGAAGCCACGGCAAACUCUGUGCCAGCAGCCGCGGUAAUACAGAGGUGGCGAGCGUUGUUCGGAUUUACUGGGCGUAAAGGGUGCGUAGGUGGCCGCGUGUGUCGGGUGUGAAAGCCCACAGCUCAACUGUGGAAAGUCAUCCGAAACUGCGUGGCUGGAGUGCAGGAUGGGAGAGCGGAAUUCUCGGUGUAGCGGUGAAAUGCGUUGAUAUCGAGAAGAACACCGGUGGCGAAGGCGGCUCUCUGGAAUGCUACUGACACUGAGGCACGAAAGCUGGGGGAGCAAACAGGAUUAGAUACCCUGGUAGUCCCAGCCCUAAACGGUGUGCACUUGGUGUGGGGAGAAUUGACCCUCUCCGUGCCGGAGCUAACGCGUUAAGUGCACCGCCUGGGGAGUACGGCCGCAAGGCUAAAACUCAAAGAAAUUGACGGGGUCCGCACAAGCGGAGGAGCAUGUGGCUUAAUUCGAUGCAACGCGAAGAACCUUACCAGGGCUUGACAUGUAGCUGCAAGCCCGCUGAAAGGCGGGCCGCCUUCGAGGGUGCUACACAGGUGCUGCAUGGCUGUCGUCAGUUCGUGCCGUGAGGUGUUGGGUUAAGUCCCGCAACGAACGCAACCCCUGUGUUUAGUUGCCACCCCCGGUUCGCCGGGGAGCACUCUAAACAGACUGCCUGUACAAGCAGGAGGAAGGUGGGGAUGACGUCAAGUCAGUAUGGCCUUUAUGCCCUGGGCUGCACACGUGCUACAAUGGCCGGUACAAAGGGAUGCAAGACCGCGAGGUGGAGCAAAUCCUCAAAACCGGCCCCAGUUCAGAUUGAAGGCUGCAACUCGCCUUCAUGAAGCCGGAUUCGCUAGUAACGGCGCAUCAGCUACGGCGCCGUGAAUACGUUCCCGGGCCUUGUACGCACCGCCCGUCACAUCAUGAAAGCCGUCUGCUCCCGAAGUCGCCGUACCAACCCGCAAGGGAGGGAGGUGCCUAAGGAGUGGGUGGUGAUUGGGAUGAAGUCGUAACAAGGUA